This 416-nucleotide ribosomal RNA is filed under the name uncultured eukaryote. Its description in RNAcentral is "SSU rRNA". It matches the Rfam family "Eukaryotic small subunit ribosomal RNA", at positions 592 to 1013 of the family's 1831-position model. The record is from RNAcentral.
CAAUAGCGUUAUUAAAGUUGUUGCGGUUAAAAGCUCGUAGUUGGAUUUCUGUCGAAGGCGGCCGGUCCGCACUAUGUGCGUGCAUCUGGUUCGGUUUUGGCAUCCUCUUGGGGAACGUUUCUGUGCUUGAUUGCAUGGGGCGGAAUUCAAGACUUUUACUUUGAGGAAAUUAGAGUGUUCACGGCAAGCUAUCGCUUUGAAUACAUUAGCAUGGAAUAAUAAUAUAGGGCGUGAGUUCUAUUUUGUUGGUUUCUAGGACAUACGCAAUGAUUAAUAGGGACAAUUGGGGGGCAUUCGUAUUAACGCGUCAGAGGUGGAAUUCUUAGAUUGCGUUACGACGAACUACUGCGAAAGCAUUUGCCAAGAGUGUUUUCAUUAAUCAAGAACGAAAGUUAGAGGAUCGAAGACGAUCAGAU